AUCAUAAAGAGAGAAUAAUAUGGGAAGGUCUGAGUACGCGAAAAUCUCUAGGGGGGAAAUUACAAACAAUGUAAUGGUCAGGUAACAGAAAUAGUCUAAGCUCAUACUAAAAAACGACAAAGAAACCAAUUCAUCAACUUGCCGAAAGGUCGGAAAAUGUAAAGGUCGAGUCAGUAUGACAAAGGUUGGGAAAACUUGGCUGCGUAUAAAAUCAAUGAAGUUAGAUACAUCGGAUAGUUGAAAUUUAAAAAAAAUCAACUACAACUCAAUUCAGAUUAAUCUCUAACUGAU
This 291-nucleotide RNase P RNA is filed under the name Dictyostelium discoideum. RNAcentral's name for it is "Nuclear RNase P". It matches the Rfam family "Nuclear RNase P". From Rfam's summary of the family: Ribonuclease P (RNase P) is a ubiquitous endoribonuclease, found in archaea, bacteria and eukarya as well as chloroplasts and mitochondria. Its best characterised activity is the generation of mature 5'-ends of tRNAs by cleaving the 5'-leader elements of precursor-tRNAs. Lineage: Eukaryota; Evosea; Eumycetozoa; Dictyosteliales; Dictyosteliaceae. The record is from Rfam by way of RNAcentral.